GAUGAACGCUGGCGGCGUGCCUAAUACAUGCAAGUCGAGCGAACGGACGAGGAGCUUGCUUCUCUGACGUUAGCGGCGGACGGGUGAGUAACACGUGGAUAACCUACCUAUAAGACUGGGAUAACUUCGGGAAACCGGAGCUAAUACCGGAUAAUAUAUUGAACCGCAUGGUUCAACAGUGAAAGACGGUUUUGCUGUCACUUAUAGAUGGAUCCGCGCUGCAUUAGCUAGUUGGUAAGGUAACGGCUUACCAAGGCAACGAUGCGUAGCCGACCUGAGAGGAUGAUCGGCCACACUGGAACUGAGACACGGUCCAGACUCCUACGGGAGGCAGCAGUAGGGAAUCUUCCGCAAUGGGCGAAAGCCUGACGGAGCAACGCCGCGUGAGUGAUGAAGGUCUUCGGAUCGUAAAACUCUGUUAUUAGGGAAGAACAGAUGUGUAAGUAACUGUGCACGUCUUGACGGUACCUAAUCAGAAAGCCACGGCUAACUACGUG
RNAcentral lists this ribosomal RNA (497 nucleotides) under uncultured bacterium. Its description in RNAcentral is "partial 16S ribosomal RNA". It matches the Rfam family "Bacterial small subunit ribosomal RNA", at positions 28 to 507 of the family's 1533-position model. The record is from RNAcentral.